UACGUAGGGUGCGAGCGUUGUCCGGAAUUAUUGGGCGUAAAGAGCUCGUAGGCGGCUUGUCGCGUCGGAUGUGAAAGCCCGGGGCUUAACUCCGGGUCUGCAUUCGAUACGGGCAGGCUAGAGUUCGGUAGGGGAGAUCGGAAUUCCUGGUGUAGCGGUGAAAUGCGCAGAUAUCGGGAGGAACACCGGUGGCGAAGGCGGUUCUCUGGGCCUGUACUGACGCUGAGGAGCGAAAGCGUGGGGAGCGAAUAGG
This 253-nucleotide ribosomal RNA is filed under the name uncultured bacterium. RNAcentral describes it as "partial 16S ribosomal RNA". It matches the Rfam family "Bacterial small subunit ribosomal RNA", at positions 524 to 776 of the family's 1533-position model. The record is from RNAcentral.